RNAcentral lists this transfer RNA (71 nucleotides) under Giraffa giraffa angolensis (Angolan giraffe). RNAcentral describes it as "tRNA-His". It matches the Rfam family "tRNA". From Rfam's summary of the family: Transfer RNA (tRNA) molecules are approximately 80 nucleotides in length. Their secondary structure includes four short double-helical elements and three loops (D, anti-codon, and T loops). The record is from RNAcentral. Lineage: Eukaryota; Metazoa; Chordata; Mammalia; Artiodactyla; Giraffidae. RNAcentral also lists the same sequence under 2 other names.
GUAAAUGUAGUUUAAAAAAAAACAUUAGAUUGUGAAUCUAAUAAUAGAAGCUUACUACCCUCUCAUUUACC